GAGUUUGAUCCUGGCUCAGAACGAACGCUGGCGGCGCGCCUAAUACAUGCAAGUCGAGCGAGAAGACGUAGCAAUACGUUUGUAAAGCGGCGAACGGGUGAGGAAUACAUGGGUAACCUACCCUCGAGUGGGGAAUAACUAGCCGAAAGGUUAGCUAAUACCGCGUACGCUUCUUGGACUUCGGUUCAGGGAGGAAAGCGAUACCGUGGGUAUCGCGCUCUUGGAUGGGCUCAUGUCCUAUCAGCUUGUUGGUGAGGUAACGGCUCACCAAGGCUUCGACGGGUAGCUGGUCUGAGAGGACGAUCAGCCACACUGGCACUGCGACACGGGCCAGACUCCUACGGGAGGCAGCAGUAAGGAAUAUUGCGCAAUGGGCGAAAGCCUGACGCAGCGACGCCGCGUGGGGGAUGAAGGUCUUCGGAUUGUAAACCCCUUUCGGGAGGGAAGAUGGAAUGGGGUAACCCAUUCGGACGGUACCUCCAGAAGCAGCCACGGCUAACUUCGUGCCAGCAGCCGCGGUA
This 521-nucleotide ribosomal RNA is filed under the name uncultured bacterium. RNAcentral's name for it is "bacterial SSU rRNA". It matches the Rfam family "Bacterial small subunit ribosomal RNA", at positions 9 to 522 of the family's 1533-position model. The record is from RNAcentral.